CGUGAACCGGUGAGGUGGAAACGGAUAGAGCCAGCGCAUCUGGCCUGUAUUCAGCCGUUCGGCCGCUGGCGUCAGGGUGCCGCUCUCCAGAUUGGGACGGUGCCUUGUGCUGCUGGUGGUCGCGUGGUGCAUUUGCAGGUGGAGUGCGCCGAGGCGCUCGGGGUAGCGGCAUGAGCUCAGUUUUGAGGCCAGCCCGCAAGGGUCUGGUACCCGAGCUGGGGGAGUGUUGUUUGCCCUGGGUGUUGUCUCGAGUAUGGUCUUCGGGCUCGGGUGGGCGCCGAGCUGGCAGCCGGUUACGGUCGCAUGCGACACGUGCCAGUAGUCAGUUCGGUCCUAUUCGAGCUCACUUACUCAUCCUCGGUGUAAAAGCUGGUCAUCUAUCCGACCCGUCUUGAAACACGGACCAAGGAGUUUAGCGUGUGCGCGAGUCAUUGGGCGUUAAAAACCCAAAGGCGCAAUGAAAGUAAAGGUUCCCGCAAGGGGCUGACGUGCGAUCCUGUGCACCGCGGUGUGCAGGCGCAGCAUGGUCCCGUCCCGACUGCUUGCAGUGGGGCGGAGACAGAGCGUACGCGCUGAGACCCGAAAGAUGGUGAACUAUUCCUGAGCAGGAUGAAGUCAGAGGAAACUCUGAUGGAAGUCCGAAGCGAUUCUGACGUGCAAAUCGAUCGUCUGACUUGGGUAUAGGGGCGAAAGACUAAUCGAACCAUCUAG
This 711-nucleotide ribosomal RNA is filed under the name Bitylenchus ventrosignatus. RNAcentral describes it as "partial large subunit ribosomal RNA". It matches the Rfam family "Eukaryotic large subunit ribosomal RNA", at positions 398 to 947 of the family's 3401-position model. The record is from RNAcentral. Lineage: Eukaryota; Metazoa; Nematoda; Chromadorea; Rhabditida; Telotylenchidae.